Long non-coding RNA from Episyrphus balteatus (marmalade hoverfly), 2883 nucleotides. RefSeq lists it as uncharacterized. Lineage: Eukaryota; Metazoa; Arthropoda; Insecta; Diptera; Syrphidae. The record is from RefSeq and is a predicted model, not a curated record. The transcript has 4 exons.
UCCACGAAAAAUUGUUGGAAUUUAAAGAACACAUAUACUCCAGUCAAAGCGUCGGAAAAAAAGGGCCUCACCUUGCGCAGAGAGGCACUGUCAGUUUUUAUUUCAUGGAUCGAUAGGGGUAUAUUUAAAAGGCUUAAACCCAAUUUCUCACCACCUGAUCAUUCUUUUUAGCGGAGUUAUUCACAAAAAUGCAUUUUUUGGGAUAUUUUACUUCUAAGCUAAUAUCUUUGCUCCAGAUUGUCGUAGACCAAAACAUACAUUCUCUUCCUUAUAAUAUUUUCUAUCGUUGUAUGUAAUUUCAUUGUAUUUGAGUGAGUAAAUACAAAAUGGCAGCCAUUUAAAGUCAAAUUCUUGUUGUUAAAAAACACAUUUUUGUCAUUAUUUCGAAAAAAGCUUAUAUCAUGAUUGACAUUUUUCUAAUUUAUUUUGUAGCCCUAUUCAUGUCCUGCAUUUUACAGAAAAAAUCAGCUCUUUAUCUCCAAAGAUGGCCGAGCAAUUGAUAAAUGAACGCAUGCAAAACCGGUGCGAAAACACCCAAAAAUAUCGUUUUUUGGGAAUAACUCGGCUUCAGAGUGUCCUACGACAAAAAAUAAAGCUAUUAAUUGUUCGUUACAAUAUUUUCUAUCGAUUUGGUGCACAUUAUUUUUGUUGAAACAAAUAAAAAAUAAGUUAUAUUAAGUCAAAGACGUUUUUUUGUUUAGCAAACUCUUGCCAUAUUAUUUUUGCGAAUAACUCCGCUAAUAAGAAUGAUCAGGUGGUGAGAAAUUGGGUUUAAGCCUUUUAAAUAAACCCCUAUCGAUCCAUGAAAUAAAAACUGACAGUGCCUCUCUGCGCAAGGUCAAAUGACGCUUUGACUGGAGUAAUAUACUUGUUGAUAAAACACAUUGUGAAAAACAAUCUAGUACUCAUUGAUUUUUGUGUAUUUUUUUGUAUCUAACAAUUUAUUCAAAAUAAUUAUUCUCUAUUCUUUUUUCAAAUGUUAUAAACGUGUUUUGUGUUUUUAUUUCAUUUGCAACUGGGGCCUACAAUAACCCACGACAAAAAAGUUCUUUGAAAUUUAAUAUUGAUUACGAGAUAUUUGAAUAUUUUUUUUUUAAAUUUAAAAAUAUGGCGAGUUCUUCAUUACCAGCUAUUGAGAAAUUAAAGGGCAGAGGAAACUAUAAUAGUUGGAAGUUUGCUGUCGAGAAUUAUCUGGCGCUGGAAGAUCUCUGGGAUUCUGUAAUCACUGAAGAAAAGGAUAAGAAAAAAUGUGCGAGGGCAAAAUCAAAAAUUAUUUUGCUAAUCGAACCAAUAAACUUCGUGCAUGUGAGGAAUGCUACAACUGCUAAGGAAGCCUGGGAGAAGCUUGCUGCAGCUUUUGAUGACAAAGGAUUGACAAGGCGUGUGGGACUUUUAAGGACUCUAAUAACGACCAAUUUGAAGGAAUGUGGAUCUGUUGAGAUUUAUGUCAAUAAAAUAAUUUCCACAGCACAUAAACUUACAGGCCUAUUCUGGGCAACCUCACUGAUGCCUCACAAGUCACAAUAACCUCAUAACUCGAGUUUUGUGACUUUUUCGUAUUCUGGCGAAAACCUCACAGUCACAAGAACCUCAUAAGGUGAGGUGAGUUUUGUUUUAUGAUGUUUUUCGUAUUCUGGCGUACCCUCACAACUUGUGAGCCUCAUAAAAAUUGUUAAAAUUGUGAUCUCCUUCAGAGCAGGUCACAACUCACAAAUUACUAGAGUUUUGAUAUUUUUUACUUCCAUAAAAUGUUUUGAGAACAAAUGAAAUUUUUUUUUUUUAUUUGUGAUUCAACAAAAAUAGAAUUAGACCUUGUUUUAAAACAAUUGUUGCAUCUUAUUGCAGAACAAAAAUCUUAAUCAAUAAGCAAUUCCAAGAAGACUUACCUACCCAAAGGAAUGUGUCUGCCAUUGGAUUUUGGUUGCAUCUGGAGAUAGUUUCUAAGAAGUCAUCGAUGAAUAUUUGCGACAUGGCUUGCGUGCGUUGGCGUUGCAUUGGCUGUCGUGUCAAAUCAUUGCAUCAUUGCAACCUACACAAAGUGUGAUUCCAUCAAUCGCAAAAAUAGCCGCAUGAAAUCAUCACAUCCACGAAUUUCAAAGGACACAGGAGCACCUACUGAUAUUAGACAACUAGAUUUUGUGAAUACAACAAAUUUAAAAUCGUAGGCUUCUUCAAGAGUUUGUUGAUCCAAAGGAUUUCAACAAUAUGAGCAUUUGGAUUUCCUGUCGGAGCUGCAACCUUAGCUAAUGGAGUUGGUAUCGAUGUUGAAUCUAACAUCGCUGUAGACUUAUCGAAAUGCAUGCAAAAUGUCGAAGUUAUGCAAGAUCUGUAAGAGUUUGUAUUGCAUAGACCUUAUAUCAAAGCUGGACUAUUGUACGCAAACCUUCGAAAGGGUGCAUUAUUGUACAACGGCAAGGCCUAACCCAAUCGAGAAGUCAGUCAGGCGGUUCCUGUAAUCGUCAAACAAAAGUAUCCUCUUACCCCCAAGGGAGGAACUAGCUAUGAGGAUUAUGUGAGAUGUAUAAUUAUUAGAACCGCCUACAAAACAACAAAAAAAAGUGUGAAAAGCUCAAACCAAUUUAUAGGUGAUCAGAACUCGGUGCCAGUAAAUUGUGUCCAAUCAGCAACGGCAACAACAAAUCCAUUCAUGCCAAAGCAUUAGCCGAUGCAGCCAAUGCAACUAUGACAACUAGCACAUGACCGUACAUAAUAAACAUGCGGCAGUAGGUAGUUGAUGGGUUUUUGAUGACAACCGCUGCAGGCUAUAAUUGAAACAUCAAAAACAAAACAAAAAAUCCAGAACAUACUGUUUAGACAUAAAACAAAAUUGUUGUUAUUUAUUUAUUUAUUUAAUACAGGGUUAAAAAUAAAUACAAUUAUUAU